This 258-nucleotide long non-coding RNA is filed under the name Mytilus galloprovincialis (Mediterranean mussel). Lineage: Eukaryota; Metazoa; Mollusca; Bivalvia; Mytilida; Mytilidae. The record is from RNAcentral.
AAUUGGUCCGUUAGGGACGACAUCAAAAGUUCAAUGAAGGAUAAAAAACUUAAUUCACAUAGUUUUUUCACUGACCCCCCCCCCCCCCCACCCCCUCUUAACUUAAUUUGGGAAAAAUUGAUUGACCCAUAUGGAUAUAUGUAAAAAUCAAUGUCGGAUAACCAAAUCUUGCAGCAGUUCAACCCCCCCACCCCCAAACUAUUUGAAUUAAGUUUUUUAUCUUACAUUGAUCUUUUGAUGUCGUCCCUUAUGGCUCUG